ACUCACAGCCGGCUCCAACAGCCACAGGCCGACACGCUCUCGACAAAGGAGGAGCUACGAGCAAUUGCACCGGCCCCUUAUAGAAGGUAAUGCAGGAUGGUGACAUUCUUCCACUUGGAAUAUUCUCCUCGUUUUCCAGCCAUUGUAGAUGGGUUAUCUGCAGCUUCCAGAAGAUGAAUGCAAAAUAAAACAAUACAGGUGGCAAGAAUCACAAGUGAAAGAAAGGAAAAUAAAAUUACUGAAGUCCAUAGAAAUUAAUUUAAAUUGUAUUGGAAGCUUACUCAGAGACUGAAAGUUCCUCAGAUUCAUAGGGAUUUGUCCAUUGGAGCAUCAUCAGAACACCUUGUCCAUAUAAAUGUUGAUCUUGCAA
Non-coding RNA from Pantherophis guttatus, 370 nucleotides. NCBI's taxonomy places the organism in Eukaryota, Metazoa, Chordata, Lepidosauria, Squamata, Colubridae. The record is from RefSeq and is a predicted model, not a curated record.